ACGGAUGAACCUUUUAUUAUGGCAUCUCAAGCAAAACAAGUGUUUUAUGUUAGGGACUCUUCUAACAAAAAGUGGUCAGUGGUUCUUAAAGGUAAAAGCAACCACAGACCUAACGAUAAUGAGCAUACAACACUAGAUAUUUAUGAGACACCUUCUUUCUCACAACGGGUGGCAAUUUUUGUUGAAGAUACUAUUGGUGACGAUGUGUAUGCCACUCGUGAUGAUCAUCAAAAAGGAAUAUGGAAAAAUGUUCAAACAUUACAAACUUAGUUAAGAAUUGACACAUGGGUGAUGUAUCAACUCCUUCUCAAAUUGGGUUGAAUACUCAAUCAACCAAAAAAAGGGAAGAGGUUGCACUCGAAUGAAAAAGUUGCAGCUUUUGGCUGCACGGGAUGAGAGAAUAUUGAUUGAUUUCAAUUCAGAUGGACAUCCUAUAGGGGAACUUGCAAAAGAUUUCAAGUAUCACGUGGCUUGUCUUGCUCGAGAGAAAAUUAGUAUUCUGUUUAAUGAGUGGAUAAUGUUGGUGAUGAAGACAGAAACGAAAUUUGGAAAGGACUUAAGCAAAUAUGGGAUAUUCCUAAAAGUGAUCUUGUUGAUAAGAAAACAAUGAUAUAUGCGGGCGAGCGUGGGAAGGCCUUUAAAAAAGCUUAACAAGUAGAUAUUUAAAUAAUGGAACUAAG
Vicia villosa (hairy vetch) is the source of this 680-nucleotide long non-coding RNA. RefSeq lists it as uncharacterized. The record is from RefSeq and is a predicted model, not a curated record. Lineage: Eukaryota; Viridiplantae; Streptophyta; Magnoliopsida; Fabales; Fabaceae. The transcript is spliced from 3 exons.